GUUUCUAUAGUUUAAAAUAAAAUAUGAUAGUGAAAAUAUCAAGAUAUAAGGUUUAGGAAUA
Molecule: transfer RNA, 61 nt
Filed under: Alectorobius rietcorreai
Lineage: Eukaryota; Metazoa; Arthropoda; Arachnida; Ixodida; Argasidae
Description: tRNA-Phe
Source: RNAcentral